GCAGGCCGUACGGGGGCCCGGGGGCCCGCCCCCGGUUCGGGAGGGGGCGGGGCGGGGAAAGGCUCCGCGCAGCGGUCCCGCACCGCCCGCCCGCA
This 95-nucleotide transfer RNA is filed under the name Streptomyces omiyaensis. Its description in RNAcentral is "tRNA-Arg". The record is from RNAcentral. Lineage: Bacteria; Bacillati; Actinomycetota; Actinomycetes; Kitasatosporales; Streptomycetaceae.